UGGUACCUACGGGGGGCAGCAGUGAGGAAUAUUGGUCAAUGGGCGAGAGCCUGAACCAGCCAAGUCGCGUGAGGGAAGACGGUCCUAUGGAUUGUAAACCUCUUUUGUCGGGGAGCAAAAAGACUACGUGUAGUCCCAAGCGAGAGUACCCGAAGAAAAAGCAUCGGCUAACUCCGUGCCAGCAGCCGCGGUAAUACGGAGGAUGCGAGCGUUAUCCGGAUUUAUUGGGUUUAAAGGGUGCGUAGGCUGACUGUCAAGUCAGCGGUCAAAAUUCCGGGCUCAACCCGGUCGUGCCGUUGACACUG
Molecule: ribosomal RNA, 305 nt
Filed under: uncultured bacterium
Lineage: Bacteria
Description: bacterial SSU rRNA
Rfam family: Bacterial small subunit ribosomal RNA
Source: RNAcentral